RNAcentral lists this transfer RNA (72 nucleotides) under Sphaerothecum destruens. Its description in RNAcentral is "tRNA-Ile". It matches the Rfam family "tRNA". Rfam says of the family: Transfer RNA (tRNA) molecules are approximately 80 nucleotides in length. Their secondary structure includes four short double-helical elements and three loops (D, anti-codon, and T loops). Lineage: Eukaryota; Ichthyosporea; Dermocystida. The record is from RNAcentral.
CAAUUUAUAGCUCAAAGGAUAGAGCCCGCCGGUGAUAUUGGUUAGAUAUAGGUUCGAAUCCUGUUAAAUUGA